CAUGACCUAGUGGUUAAGACGCCAAACUAACAACAUGGCAGUCGUAGGUUCAAGCCCGGG
This 60-nucleotide transfer RNA is filed under the name Oxyrrhis marina. Lineage: Eukaryota; Dinophyceae; Oxyrrhinales; Oxyrrhinaceae. The record is from RNAcentral.